Molecule: long non-coding RNA, 797 nt
Organism: Zophobas morio
Lineage: Eukaryota; Metazoa; Arthropoda; Insecta; Coleoptera; Tenebrionidae
Exons: 2
Source: RefSeq, a predicted model, not a curated record
UGUUCAAUUAAGUGGAAAAUCAAAAAGUAAACAAAAACCAUGAUAAGACCGCGACGGCCUUAUAUAAAAGGAUUUCUGGGACCAGCUAUGGACUAUUGUAAUAAUUUUAUUGUAUGUAAUGGACACGUCUGAUAAAAAUUGUGAAAGAAAAGAGGUGAAAUCUAGAGUAUACAAAGUGAAGUUACGACGAUCUAAAGCGAAUGCCCGAGAGAGGAAUAGGAUGCAUGGAUUAAAUGCUGCCCUAGACAGAUUAAGAAACCGAAUGCCAAUUCAACAAACUCAUUCUGACUUAAAUUCUGCUCCACAAAAACUUUCUAAAAUCGAAACAUUACGAUUAGCAAGAAACUACAUUUUAGCUAUGUCUCAAACACUUCAGGAAGGUAGACCGAUGGAGCUGACACGGUUUAUAAAGAUUUUAAGCAGAGAUUUGAGUCAAACCACUGCAAAUCUACUAACAGGAACUUUAAUGGGAAAUGGAAGCAACCAUUUAAAUUAUCGAAGAAUUUUUUUGCCUGAGAACGAUACUGCUGCUUGCCUUUAUCAAGAUCGUUAUAGCAAUAACAAUUACAACAGCAAUAAUUAUCCACAAACUUAUAUAAACAAUAACUAUUACAAUUCAUACUGGUCUAGUUAUAGGUUGGAAUGUGAACCGAACGCGAAUAGCAGGAACAUUAACAAUAUCAGGUACUGGGAAAACAACCACGUAUUUAACGAACACUGUUUGUAUAACAUAUAUUAGCGAGGUGAAUUUAUGUACAACACUGCCGUCGUAAAAAUUAUAAAAAAGAUAAAAUUUA